Molecule: non-coding RNA, 1962 nt
Organism: Aegilops tauschii subsp. strangulata
Lineage: Eukaryota; Viridiplantae; Streptophyta; Magnoliopsida; Poales; Poaceae
Source: RefSeq, a predicted model, not a curated record
AUGUGCUGCACCGACCGGCCCUGAUUCGAGAGAAUCCAAUCCAACCAAAGCAACACAACACAACACAACGCUUCCUCCUCCUCUCCCCUCGAAUCGAUCCCCUCCAAACCCGCCGCCGCCGGCGUGGACCUCCUAUCCCCAUCCCCACCAGCGUUCUCGUCUCCUCUAGCCUCACCGUCGACCUCCCGCCCUGCCCUGCAUCCCGUCGCCGGCGCCCCCACCCUCUCCCCUCUCCGUCUCUUCCUAGGAGGGAGUGAGGCCUCAGAUCCACAGGCCGCGGCAACCACCGCCACCGCGUCCUACUCCUUCCACCCCACCUAGCCGCCCUUCACCUCCACAGCUCUCCGUCCCUCCCUCCCUCCUCGCGCCCGCAGCCAUGUCGACCGAGCUCAGGACCCUCUCCUCCAAGACCAAAACGCAGGCAGCAGGCCAGGGCGACUUCAGCACCUCCCUUCUCCUGGACGGCAAUUCAGUCGUGUUGGUCGUGCGCCCCCACAACCAGAGAGGAGGGGAGAGGAGGCGGAGAUGCUGCUGCUGCACGGGCUGACGGGGAAGAACAAGCAGGCGUGGAAGGAGGGCAAGAUCCGCGGCACGGCGGUGCUGGUCAAGAGCGGCGUGCUCGACCUCGGCGACUUCAACUCAUCCGUCCUCGACGACGUCCACAAGAUCCUCGACGGCCAAGGACGAUGGCGUCUCCUUCCAUCUCGUCAGCGCCACCGCACCCAACCCCCAUAAGCAGUCGCCUCCUCUCCCUUCCUCUCACCCCUGCCCUGCAUCUCUGAACUCACCACGCCGUCUCCUUCCCUACACCGCGUGCGUUUUAGUUUUCCUCUUUGCCAUUGCAAUCUGUACUGUUGAUUUCAAUCCAAAAUAAAAGAACAAGCAGUGCAGAUUUGGUUCCUUUUCUUUUCUUGCCGGAGACAAUAUUUGUAAUUUAUACAUUUUUUAUAUUUCCAAAAGGGAGAUGCAAUCAACGAUGGCAGGGGAGUCGGUUUUUCCGGGUCACGUUUGAGUGGUCGAACGACUCACAGGGCAUCACCAGCACCAUUCUGAGUUCUUCCUCAAGACGCCCACCCUCGACGGCGUUCUCGCAACAAGAGUUCUCGCGUGUGUUUCAGUUUGCCUCUGGCGUUCUCGCGACAAUCUGUACUAGCUGCCAUCUGUAUUGAUUUUAGUUUUUUUUUAAAGACGAUCUGUAUUGAUUUUGAUUCGUUUCCUUUUCUUGGCGGAUGCACGACCUGUUUCCUAUGUAUGUGUAGGUACACUUACUAUGUUUUCAAAGUUGGCUGGCACAGAGCAAAGUCAUCAAUCAAUGCCAUCUUCCAGUCAUUCUUUGUUUAUCUGAAUCACUCACUGUAAUUUGUAGUACUUGGAAAUUUACUUGUGGUAGUCUGAAGCUUUAUUUUAGUAAUAUACUUGGAGAAUUCCAAAUUGAUUUUGUGAGCAGACCAUGUUGAUAAACUAUAGCACUUCGUCUUGUCGUUCCUACUCAGACCCCCCCUGCUGACCUGCUUCCUUUACUAAUCUAAUCAGGGAUUGAAGGUUGUCAACAAAGAAAGGAAGAAAGAAAGAAAGAUCCAUUUCUCCAUGGAAGGAGGAAGGGACAUCUUGAUCGCAAGUGAGUGACUGGAAGCAACCGAGGGAGCCGGCAACCUCUCCGACAUGCUGCUCAUGACCACCUCCCCAACCAGAUGCUGUUGUAGGCAGUAGACUUAGCCAUUUGUCGAUAAAAUCCUUGUGUGUGCUAAGUAUGGAUGUCAAUUUUGUUUCACUCAAUUUCACUUCUCUGCAAUGUUCAUUCUCACAUAUUUCUAUCAUUCUUUGCAGGGAUAAAGUAAAGAAAAAGAAGAAAAGAUUACUAGAAGAUUAGUUUUAGAAUUUUCUUUUAUUUCCUUGUAAUUUUUCUUUUAUUGGAUACUUGUAAAGACAUUGUAAUAUUCUUACUAUAAUAAAAAUUAUGAU